Phalacrocorax carbo (great cormorant) is the source of this 9672-nucleotide non-coding RNA. The record is from RefSeq and is a predicted model, not a curated record. Lineage: Eukaryota; Metazoa; Chordata; Aves; Suliformes; Phalacrocoracidae.
CCAGUUAUCGCCAAUGUUUUAUGCGCGUCUUCCCCCCAUCAUGUCUACAGCAGCAGCCUGAGAUACGAAAAUAAUCACAACAGGGUUUUCCCAUUCCCCUUCCUCCCUUGCCCAGUGGGCAGUUAUUCCAGCUUAAUUCAAGACGAAAUCCUGUGUGACUUGCAAAUACCUCCCGUCAGGUUUUUUAUGUUGGCUAUACUCCGGGGAGGGGUGAAUGGGCAUACAGGGACUGCCAAUGGGCCAUUUCUUUCUGCACAUCUAAAGCCCUGUUGCUCACACAGAAUGGAGGUCAUGUUGGCUCUUCCGAAAUGCAUAGUCCGGAAAAAUGAUGGAGACUGAAUGGGGGAUUUACUGUACUCACUGGAAUCCAAUAAGAAUAAUAAACUGUGCUCCUGGAGAGGAGGAGGAGAAUCCUACCACAUUCUCCAAACAUUCAGUAACCGAGCCUCUGCAUCAUGGAUGUGAAUGUCCUCAUAUUUGUCCGAUGGUUAAUGCCGCCAUUCAGAGCUUCAGCCAGCUAUGAAACUUCUCUGGCCAGCUGUCUUCCUUCUCUGCAGCAUGCUCCCACCCUUUCCACUUUAUACACUAAUGAGCUGCAAAAAUCCAUUAGGAAUAAGACAAGCCCGACAUUUAUUUCUUGCUGUCACAGGUGGCAAGGGUUAAUAAAAGACAUCCGUAUUUCUUGGAUAGCUACAGAUAAAAUUUGGACCGUGCUAUUUAGGCCACUUUCUUUCUCCCAGCAGUGCUGUCCCACAUUCAAACUAAUUAAUAGCAAGAUCUGUGCUGUGUAACGACUGCAGGAGCGGGAUAAUGUUUAGAAACGGCACAACCUUAAAUAUGUCAAUUGCUGAUGUCCUCAUUUGCUGAGUUCAUCGAGUUCUGUCAAGAACUCCCUUCUCAGAGGACUGCAGUUCAAAAAUGAUACGCACAAAUGGUAUCAUUUUCCAUCUUCUGCUGAAAAAGUUUGAUUCCUUGCAUAUUGCAUUUACAGUUUUAAGCUACAGAUUUUCCUUUUCAGAUCUACAUCAGUAAUUAAAAUUACUAACUCCUUUCUAGCACAAAACCUAAUUUAUAUUCAGCCCUAAAUGACAAUAUUGUUUUCUUAUUCACCCUAAAACAAUUGAACACUGGAUCUUUAGAUAGGAACAAGUAUUAUACGUGCUCUUUCUCAUAGAAAGUAAGUGUGAAUUUCUAACUAGUCUAAGGAAGCCUCCAUAGCUUUCUGCCUGUGGUCUUCAGGCCUGGAGACACAUCACACAAUCCAGGAAAGGUAAUUAAGGUCAGUUGGCUGAAAUUCUAUCUAUAGGGGUCUGCAUUUGAAAUAUUGAGGAACUACUCACUUCUCAAACUGAAAAACACUGAAGGAGCGCUGUCCUAAGUUGUUCUGUGCAACUAGCCAGAAGAUUGUUGUAGGUCGAAGAUCAGUGUAUACAGGACAAGGUUUGUACCAGUAGGUGUUAGCUUUUUUCAGACCAACUGGUAUAGAAGGAAAAGUAGACAAAUGUCUGGGUUAACGAGCUAUAUUUUUGGUUCUGAAGCAGUAAAUACCAAAGCUAAAUGCAACUUGAGAACAACUGCUUAGAGCUUAGGUAGGGAUGGAUCAGUGAGACCAGCUCAGAAAGAAAAAGUGAAAAUGGGAAUGGAUGGGGUGUUGUGGUGGGAAGAACAAGGGCUGAGAGCUGGUUCAGGAAAGUUCCUAUGACUUGCUGGUUUUAACUGUUUAACUAUUUCACAUAACAGGAAAUCAUGUGUGGAAAGACUCUUCCCAGAAGCACUUGUCCUACAUUUCAGGCACCUCAAACCACAAAACUCAUCAUCAGAAACGUAAUUCUCUGUGGUCCAAAACACCAGAACAGUUUAAAUUGUGCCUGAGCAAGAAAUGUUAAGAUGUAUUUGUGCCCAUCUGCCACUACAGCAAUGAAUGCCCCCUGCCAUCAAACAAUCGGCAUCCUCCACUCUUGCAUUUGUAGUUUCAGGACUAACAUACUUCAUCGUGCGCACAGCUGCCUUCCUGAUAGUUUUGCUGCUGAAAAUGACCACUCAGCACCAGUGUGAACUCCCAGAGAUGGUCUAUAAAAGACCCAAAGAGUGUUGUCAGUGAGAGAGAGUUUCUCACAAACAAGACAUUCUCCCUCUAAUUUUUGAGUCCUGCUCCUUAAGAGAAACUACAGAACUUGUCCCACAGCAGUGAGCAUGGGAACUAGGUUUCCUAACUCUGCCCAACACCCAAAACCAGAGCCUCAGUAGAGAUGCUGGUCUGGCAGAGUUCCCUCUGCUUCCAUACCCUGUUCACCUCUCUCUGAAUCAAGAGGCUGUAAAGUAAUUGUCUCUCCUUUUUGCUUAGCUAAUAAAUGUCACUCUUUCUCCCAUCCUGAACAUCCUCUGCAUCAUUAACGUCGUUAAUGUCCUCUUUAUUCUACAGCUACCAUCUUCCUUUCAGAGCUGGCUUAAUUAAUACGUAUCUUAGUAAAUGUUAAGUGAUUGUUCUUAACUGAGAGCUGCAGCUGGUGUUACUAACCUGGAGAAAAUUUCGUAUGGCCAAAGGUAUCCACCGCAGGUGACUGUUGGAGGGAGGAGACCGGACUGGAUGCCACCGUUAUUUGGAAGUUGACACGCAGACCUACAGAUGAAAAUUCUGGAGAGAAACUAUCUGGACAAGACCUCCAAGCAGCUUUUACAGUUGCAUGGUGUGUGUGUAUUUUCCAUUAAUAUUACUGAGAGAGUGAGCAGGAUCAGAAGAGGGAGUAAUUUGCAGCCUGUAUCUGCCUUUCUCCAUGGAAUGCGGCUUGGUCUGCAGAUGAAGAAAAGCGAGAAGAGCAGUGAAGCGGGAUAGCUGCAGGAGCAGACAGUGUAACAGCUGAGCUGUUGAAGGCUGCCAGUGUAAGUGCCAACAAAGCAGCCAAAAACCAGAUACAUGGAUGUACAGGAACACAAGGAAGUAGCAGAUAGAGCAAAACAGAGAACCAGGCCUGUGGGAUUUAGAAAUAUUCCUGACAUGAAGACCUGCAACACAGGAUGACAGCGUAUCAAGAUACAGAAUCAGAGUUCAAAUCCACAAGGGCGACAACUCAUUCUUCUCUCAACAUGUUUGUGUCUUUGCAUGAUCUCCAACCUGACUCCCAGUCUACAGUGUGAUAUGAGUUUGUCUGAUCUACAGUGUGACCAGAUAAAACAGUUAAUGAAAGACCACUAAGAAGAGACUUUAGCAAUUAGAAAUAUCCAGCACAAACCAACAGAAAGAAGCUGCUCAUUAAGUAUAUCCACUGAUGACACUAACUAAAGAGGCACGUGUAUGCUACAGCCUGGAAAAGCAGGGAACUAGAGUUUGUACACACAGAUAGAAGCUGUUGGAGGAAGGCAACUGAAGAAUACACAGAAACUCUCACUGAUGUCUGAAAUUGAAGAUGAUCUAAUAAAUAUGAAGAACAGUUCCAGGUUUCUUUCAAGAGCACAGCACUACACUGCACAGUCGGCAGCUUCUACCCUUCAGACAUCCAGGUGCAAAAGACAAGGAGGAGAUAGUGUUCAAGCCAAGCAGUGUCUUCAGCAGGGGUAGCCACGACUUUGGCACUGAGGGACAGGCAUGACCUAGUGAGUUUGCUAUGGAUCCUCUGGCCAUUUCACCCAGACUGCUAUCUCAUGAGGCAGUAAAAACAGCAUUCACCAUCCCCUGACAGGCCCCCACCUUCAGCUCAGGAUUUACUUUAGCUGGACACUGUUGAGAGCUAGGAGAUGACUUAGAGGAGAUAUUGCUAUGGGCUUGCUUUACUCACAUACCCUUCCUCAGGCAUUGGCUGUCAGGUGUGGGGUGGGAGGACUGGCAGACUCGUACUGGGCUGAAGGGCUUUUCUGCUGAGAAUUAAGGCCAUUUUGAUGAGGCAGGAUAAAGGCAUGGCACACACUAAGCCCUGGAAGGUGUUGAGUGCUCACAAGACCCACAGCAUAGACAUGGGCUUGGUCUCGCAAGAGCCCCAUGCAGUGACAGCUGAGUUCUCAGGGGGAUUCAUGGAAGCAGAGUUGCCCUGUUGCAGGUCUCCACAUGGCAAAAUUACCCCACACAAGAAGCUGCCACUUUGCUUUCAGGGGAACCUACAGUCACAGAGGAACAGCUAACAAGCUAACAACAGAUGAUGACAAAAGGAGGGCCCACGUGUGGUGGUUUGGACAAAGAGGCAGCAUCGGGAGUGAGGCAGAAAACCUGCUCAUUUGUCAGAUGAGGAGUGCAGGCAGCAGAGCUGGAAACACCUCCUGUGGUUCCCUGAAGCUGUAGCUGUUGGAAGAGGGCAGGGGCCAAAUCACCUGCCUCUCCUGUGCUUUGAGAUGUGCGGUCUAUAAAAAGUUGGAAAAGGAGACAGACCCCCCCCUCCAGCUGAGUUCACACUUUCAGCAGAAGCUUUAAUAAGAAGCUAGGUUGGCAAGGACGGGGAGCCACAGGGCAGCCCAGAUGUACAUGUAAAAAUCCUCCAGCAAGACGUGACAUCUCGGCAGGGAUGGAGAGUGCCAGGGUGCAAGCGAACAGUAUGGUUUCAUUGCUUUGUGGCUCAAACUGUGCCCAAGGUCUGCACCUACAAGUCCUACAUUUUGAAGAUGCAGAUCUGCCUCUGGCCCAGUGCCGUGCACACCAGCUAAGAAGUCCAAUAAUGGAUAUUGAUAGUUGCAGGCUGCUGUUCAAUCACAGGAUGGUUUGCCUGUGACAGGCCACAAGGGAAGUCAAUGCUGAUGAUAGUGUUUUCAGCCAAGAGCUGCCCGCCCAGAAAUCAAAUCUGCCAAAAAGACAUUUACACUCUCCAAGUGAAAACAAAGCAAAGUGGCUGCGGCUUUUAGAAACACUGCUGAGAGAUCAAUUCUUAGGUUUUCCACAGAUUAUAGAGUGAAUGAAAUGUCUGUGAGUGUUAAAUAUAUAUUGGCAACAGUUGUUUGAUGAGGAUUUUGGAAGGGGAGGACUGAAGAAGCCAUAUUUCUUUAGCGCCUCAGGUGUUUAUCACAGAAACCAGUUUGCUGGAAAAGUCAAUGCAACCACAAAACUAGCACAUCCCCCCGUCAAUGCGGAGGAGGCUGCAGCUCAGCAACUGAGCAAGUUAUCUUACAUGCUCCCAAAGCAGAGUACAAGGAGGUUGAAAUAACAGCUGAGCUCAAGCUAGAGCUGAGCACAGAGAGUGUAAGAAAUUGCUUAGUCACAGAAAAAUGCAAACACUCAUAAUGUCAAGUCAAAUUUAGUCAACAGUUUCACCUGAAAUAAAACGUGGAAGGCAUUAUUUUGUUGUUUUUGCAAUAGUUUUUUGCUUUGACUUUUCAGGCAAGAUUUACAAGCUGACUUGAAAACGAUUUCUGAAACAACAGAGAAUGGGAAAAGAGCAUCCUUAUGCCACAGCAACUAAAUUUUGUGAGACUGGAGGCAUAUAUCCACUCCUUUUUCUAACUGAUUUAAAGCUAGGUCUUAAAAUCAUGGGCCUCUUUUCUCUUUCACAGUGAUACUGAUUUUGGUGGGAGACCUUCGUUUUUUUUGCCUUUGAAGAUGAUUGGAAGCAGGGAUUGGAAAAUUCAGAUGAGUGUCCUAGACACCAGACCAUACCAUAAUCCUCACCUGUUUUCUUACCCAAUGAAAGUUCGUGACAUGAACAGCAUUUGUGGACACAUCAGCAUUCAAGACAGAGGCUCCUUUGUGUCCUCUACAGCUGCCACAGUGAGUUUUCUUCACCCCAAGUACCAACGCUCUCAAGCAGCCAGGAGCUCCACAUCUCUCAGAAAACAGGGAGCAGGGCUGGGCUGGUGGCAGAGCAGGGACACGAGGCAGUGCUCACCACCACAGCUUCAGCUGUUUUACCUGUCCCACCCCAUGGCGUACAAAUUGCCCAGCAGCCUUGAAUCCAGCAGAGCUACUUUCUCAGACAACGUCCAUCGCAGGAGUUUCAUUCGAUCUGCCUGUGAGGCCGGGUUUGGGCAGCCAGCCUUACAGCCUGGCAUUUAGGACAUUUUUCUGAGAGGAAAACCUGGGGAUUACUGAGCAGUUGGAGUCGCCCACCUAGAGAGUGAAAGUUCACACUGCUGGGUGAGAAAGGGGAUCUCCCCUCAUCAGUUUUGUGAACAUUGCUCUGGUCACCCUGCAUGAGUUUAUUUUCACAUUGCUUUCAUGUCCUUUAGAAAUGGCCCAAAUCAGUGUGAAAUACUUUAUUCAACCUGAAAAAGCCCCUCCCUAUUUGCCACACAGUCUGAAAAAAUCUGGUUUGAUGUCAAUCCAGAAAUACUUUUUCCUUUUUUUUUUUUUUGUUUGUUUUUAAACAUUGGCAGCACAGCAUUCCUCCAAAUGGGACCAACAUGCAGCUCUAGAUAAAAUAAGUAAGUAUUGCUAGCGCUUUACUGAGAACAUUAGCCUGGCUGCUCAGCUUCCUAGUGCCAAAGACUGCUGCCCAGAGUAAAUGGCCGUACUUACUCUGUCCAGCAGUAGUUUGCUUUCUCUGUGCUCUUUAGAAAGUUAUCAAAGAAACCCUUUUCAUAGUAAGCACUGCAUCUUCACUGCCGAAGGGCCAAAUUCUGAUCCCACUGAAUUAAGCUCCCAUUUCAGUAGGAUCAGAACUGGCCAAAACUAAUGAAUUUAAUCUGUCUCAGACUCCCAUGGUGUCUGGUUUGGAGCUAGAGGGAGACAGGACAUUAGGCCACCCAUCAUCUUUACACCCAAAGGGAGAAUUCAGCAGACAGAGCAGAUCAAUGUGCCAGGUGAGGCCACAGCAGGAGGCACCCUGCAGACCUGCCUGUUUUUUCCCUUGUACCAGAUGAAAUCAGUCUUCCCCAUUUGUCACCAAGUGGAGUAGCGUUUAGCCCACUGAUGCUUUAAACUUUUCCUGAAAGUCUUGAAAUGAUGAGACACAGUGUUUGCAAGAUCCCACGUCCUGGAUGACCAGAGCUGAGCUCAGGCAUGGUGCCUUUGUAGCAGGAUUCGCAAGGGUGAAUAUCACACUGCGGCUGCCACUGCAAAGGUCUCUUCAUGGGUGCAGAAAGUAACUCUGGAGCAUCUGAAAAAAAACCCCUCUUUUUCAAUGUAAAAACACAGAAAAAUAUGUGUGUGUAAUCAUCUCAUUCCCCAGAGUGUUACACACAUAAUCAAAGGAGAAUCACUACAGACUUCGUGCAUGGAGGAAUACAGUGCUCUUCCUUUAUGAAUGAAGCACAUAAGACUGAGCAAGCACCACUACCGCGGGUAAAGUAGACUGCUUGUAAAGAGAAAAAUAAAUAGAUGGCAUCUCCUCUGUAGCAAAAUGACGGUAGCCAGAUCCUCCUAUUUUUACAGUCAUUGUUCAACAUUAUACUUAAGAGCAGUAUUAGAGCAAAAAGCACCUAAUUUCACUUCAGCUGAUUUAAAAUGCAUCUUAGUGCAUCUGAGCUAUUGUCUAAUCCUUUUGUUUGAGAUGUUCUACACUAGUCAGCCACUUUUGAUUGAUGUGCUAACAAUCCCCCUUAAGGCAGGUAAUUCACAGACAGUGUUCAUGAUGUGCAAAGUGGCACUCUAGCUCCCACAAACAAAAGUCAGUAAACUUUAAAUCCCAGAGCCCCUAAACUUAUUUUGCAUAAAUCGUCCUCACAAGAGGGGAGGUGAGAUCUCUUUAUAUGCAUCUUCUGUAUCAACUUAGAAUUCAACUAAUUUUUUUGUAACAGUGGGAAAGCUGAGUAGCGACAAGUCACAGCAGAAAGCAAAGGUUGCAACCAAUUUUGAGACCAAACGAAAUAAAAUUAAUUACCUCAUUUUAGCCUCUAUCCAGUCAGCUAUGUCCUACUUCAAUGUCUUUUCAAUUAAAGCUUUCUUAGAGUAACAAUUAACAGAAGUAGAUAUAUUUUUAUUAAAUAACGUCCUCUGCAGGUGGCAUUUUUUCCUUGUGUGCUGAGGCUACAAUAGAUAGCAUUUCCUGCGGUAACAAGAAUAGGUUUUAAGCCUAAAAAAUGUUGGUUUUUCCAAGUCUGCAAAUGGGACAUUUAUGCUAUUGGAAAUCAAGAUUUCAAUCAUUCCACUAUGAUGCAGUUUCUGUCCUUAGAAGAUCUUGAAAUAGCAUGCUGUUUCAAAUUAUGUAAUACUGGGUAUAGAAGAGAGGUUGGCUUCUUUUUUCUGAACUGCAUUGCUUAGACAAUCACAUUUCUUUGUCUCAGAAAUACAUAUAUUUGUAUUCAUAGUAGAAAAAAAAAACCCCAGCUGGUCAUCACAUAAAGGUAAAAAAGAGGACCAUGAAACAAUGGUACCAGCAACAUCUGCAAGUAUGUUAAAAUUUAUUCACCUAUAAACCACGUAGCUGUUGCAACCUCUUAUAUAUAUAAUAACAAAUUAUAGGCUAUCAAGUGUGACUUCCUGCUUGCAUAAGCCGUUGACAUCACAGAGUGGAAUCUAGCCCCAAGCUCCAAUUUGUGUUUAAACUGAACUGUCCCAUCUUACCAAGUCAUCCCAGAUAAAGUCCUAAUGCUAGUGAAAUCAAUGCAAAAAGAUAGUAAUUUACUUCAGGAUUGCCAGGAUUCCAAUUGAUUUAAAACUGCAUGAAAACCAGAGCCCUCCUGCAUGAGCGGUAAGAUGAUCUAUUAAGUCAUUAUUUUCUUUAGAAAGAAUACAUCUGAGCUGUAGUCUGAAUUUACCUAUUGUCUCUUCUAGCUGGUGAAGCUGUUAUCCCCUUUCGAUAGGUUUCACUGCUAAUGAUGAUCGGUUAUUUCUUCUUUCAUGGGGAUAUGCUUUCUAGAAAUGCUUCAUUCCAAACUAAAAGCAAAACCCUUAACAUGUUCAUGGAGUUGAAAUACUGUGUCAAAAAGGAGAAAUAUUGAAAUAUCUGGGGAGAGCAGUUUGGCCAGUUUCACGACUGCAGUUCAUGGUGUCUCGAAACCAAAGCAAUCAUACCAGUUUCUGUCAUCUGCGCUGCCCCAUAGCUGCACAUACUGGAAGAUCCCAGUGUUGGCUCCCAGCUCUGUGGUCAGGAGCCAAGAAUCCCUGAGGUCUCUAGCCCCACAGUCAUUCAGAUGGAAACCUGUCACUGAGAUGAGAAACCUGAGUUCCUGGCAACCCACAGGUGAAGGAAGUUAAUUGAAAGAGAAGGCUUUCUCCCCUGGUAAAUCAGUGGUUUUCAAAGCUGCUGAAUAACCUUGCUUUGUUGGGAAAAAAACUUCCAACCAGCUUUAAUUAGACAGUCCCAAAUUAAGUUAAGAAAAGCAAUUUAAUUGAAAGAAGGUGCAGUGAUGUACGGGAGAUUUGGGGAAGUGCUGAGGGACACCUCAAAAGAAAAAAGCAUGUGUGCUACAAGAAUGUUUUCUCUGUUGGGACAAUGUAGUACUGGGAGGCAUGUCAGAAAAAUAACCAGUGUGGAUUUCUUCAUUUUUUCCUUGUAUCGCAUCCUGCAGCUAGGAGCAUUGCAAGCUGAUCCUUCAUCUGUUAAUCACUUGUUUAGGUGACUACUACCAGAGAACAAAGGAGAUUGUAUGUGGGGAAAAUAAACCAAGUGGAGACUGAGGAUCACAUGAGAAGAGAGAUUAAACAGCACCUUUUCUUUCUCUCUUUGUAGUAAAUGUCCAAGGUAAAAAAAAAAUAAUAAUCCACCUAAGGCCAUUUCUCUAGCUCAGGCUCCAGAGAUAUCUUUAAAAGAACUUGGUUGCAAUUUUUUUUCUUCUCUGUAUGGAAGAAAUUAAUAAAAGAUCAGGGGCUGGAGCAAG